CUUGCCCUAAUCCCCUCUUCAGCCGCACAUACACGAUCUCUCUGUCCUCUCGUUCUGCAUCUCUGGUGACCGGAGAAGCUCUGGCCGGCCACUAGCCGUUGUCUUGUUCUCCGACAAUCACCCACAACACCCCUAACCUCCUCUCAUCACCUGUUCGCAUCACCCAGCACCCCCUGUUGCUGGAUUUAAUGGUCGGCCACCACCAUUACUUGGUGGUGUGCGGCGGCGCGUGUACAAACGGGAGAGGAGAGAGACGCGGAGAAAGAGAGAAAGAUAAAAGAGGAUGUCGGCGGCGACGAUCCGCCGUCGGCGGCGGUGAUACUCGGUGACGAACGGCGUCAGUUCCAGCGAUUCAGAGCUGGUUCGAGCUCCGGUCGACGUUGUUUCAGUCCAGUUCCAGUUCCAGUUCGAAUCUUCCUUCGGGAUUUUGUUCGAUCCCGGUCACCGACGACAGCUGGAGCCGCAUCGACGGGAAAUGGUGUCGGCAGUGGUGUCGGUUUCAGAUUCAUGUUGGUUUCAAGGUUCGGGUUCGGCUUGUUCGGGCACACGGUUCAGCAGGUUCGGUGUUCGGUUCAACCCAGUCAACACCGGGUCAAACCUGGUCAAACUUGGUCAAGGUCAGGUUUGAUUGGUGCCGGUCGACGGUCGGAAUAACGGGUUACUCAUGAGUCUUAGUAUGACACUUACGAUACAAUUAUUUUUAUAGUAUUUCGGUUUAUACAUUUUUUAUACUAAUCAAGCUCAAACCGCACACUUGACGUUUAAUUGUAUUGUAGCAUUUGACGUGAAUUUUAUAUAUAAUGUUGAUUCACUUAUUGAGUUUUUAAAAUAUAAAGACAACUUGAUUGUCGGGAACGUCCAAAAACGGAGGAAACUCUGCCCGUUUUCAUAAAAAUUCGUAUGACAAAAUGUGAUUUAAUUAUAAAACGAGUGUCCUUUGUCUCUUUUUUUUUAAACUCUAAAAUUUACUAACUUUUUAAAUUCGUUUUAUUAAUAAAAUCUCUAAAUUAAUAACAUAAACGAAUGAUUCUUUUUAUAACAAUAAAUUUUAUAAAAUAUAAUAUACGAAUUCCGAAUUAUGCAAAACAUAAAUAUUAGGAUUAUUCCUCUUUUUUAAACUAAUAAAUAAUAAACGAAUUGGUACGUAGAUCAUCAUUAUCAAAUUCACAAAAUACUUGGAUAAUUAAACUAAUAGUAAUCACCUCUCGUGCGGUAUUCAUACUUAGGUUAAUCGCUCUCGUUCGUUCUCUUGGAAUUCCGUUUACUCAUGCACCAUCGUCUGCCCAUAUAGGGUGACCUCGGUGUUCCAUCCUCCUAAUCUCUUACGCUCGUCACUGGAUAAUCGGAAGACUUAGCAAUUCUGUUGAAGAUAACGACGCUUUGAAAUUCGAGUAGUGAUGAUGCUUAGAUACACACAAAGACGUCUUAAGCUUUAUUUCGUUGUAUCAAUUUGUACUUGUUGUAUUCUUGAAUUGAACAUAUCGUAUAUCAUGUUGUUGUAUUUGAUUUUAAACUUUGUAAUUGACUUGUAGAAAUGGAAUGAAAUCCAUUAUUUAAUUAUUGUCACAAAUAGUGUUAUGAAGUCUCUUGCAAUCUCGUUUUCGUCUCACUCCUAUGUUUCCGCCAUUGGUUGGGGUGUGACGGUCACACCCCAACCGAUGGUGGAAACAUCGGGGUGAGGCACUGAGCGAAACAGAUUGUCCAAGAAAAUCCAUAACACUAUUAGUGACAAUAUAAUUAACA
This is a long non-coding RNA of Helianthus annuus (common sunflower), 1743 nucleotides long. RefSeq lists it as uncharacterized. The record is from RefSeq and is a predicted model, not a curated record. The transcript is spliced from 4 exons. Lineage: Eukaryota; Viridiplantae; Streptophyta; Magnoliopsida; Asterales; Asteraceae.